GACGACCGCUGGCGGCGUGCUUAACACAUGCAAGUCGAACGGAAAGGCCCUGCUCUUGUGGGGUGCUCGAGUGGCGAACGGGUGAGUAACACGUGAGUAACCUGCCCUUGACUUUGGGAUAACAUCAGGAAACUGGGGCUAAUAUCGGAUAGGAUCUCCUGCAGCAUGGUGGGGGUUGGAAAGUUUCGGCGGUUGGGGCUGGAAUGGCGGCUUACCCGCUUGUUGGUGGGGUAGUGGCUUACCAAGGCUUUGACGGGUAGCCGGCCUGAGAGGGUGGACGGCCCCAUGAGGACUGAGAUAGGGAGCAGCCGCGUACGGGAGGCAACGGUGGAGAGUAUUGCACAGUGGGCGGGAGCCUGAGGCGACGGCGCCGCGUGCGGUAUGACGGCCUUCGGGUUGUGAACCGCUGUCGCCUGUGACGAAGCGGGAUUGACGGUAAUGGGUAAAGAAGCACCGGCUAACUACGUG
RNAcentral lists this ribosomal RNA (468 nucleotides) under uncultured bacterium. RNAcentral's name for it is "partial 16S ribosomal RNA". It matches the Rfam family "Bacterial small subunit ribosomal RNA", at positions 28 to 507 of the family's 1533-position model. The record is from RNAcentral.